Molecule: ribosomal RNA, 438 nt
Filed under: uncultured bacterium
Lineage: Bacteria
Description: bacterial SSU rRNA
Rfam family: Bacterial small subunit ribosomal RNA
Source: RNAcentral
CUACGGGAGGCAGCAGUGGGGAAUAUUGGACAAUGGGCGCAAGCCUGAUCCAGCAAUGCCGCGUGUGUGAAGAAGGUCUUCGGAUUGUAAAGCACUUUCGGCGGGGACGAUGAUGACGGUACCCGCAGAAGAAGCCCCGGCUAACUUCGUGCCAGCAGCCGCGGUAAUACGAAGGGGGCUAGCGUUGCUCGGAAUUACUGGGCGUAAAGGGCGCGUAGGCGGCGCAUUCAGUCAGGCGUGAAAUUCCUGGGCUUAACCUGGGGGCUGCGCUUGAUACGUUUGUGCUAGAGGUCAGAAGAGGGUCGUGGAAUUCCCAGUGUAGAGGUGAAAUUCGUAGAUAUUGGGAAGAACACCGGUGGCGAAGGCGGCGACCUGGUCUGAUACUGACGCUGAGGCGCGACAGCGUGGGGAGCAAACAGGAUUAGAUACCCUGGUAGC